UAGUUUAAUUGUAAUAGUUUAAAUAAAACUCCGAUUUUGUAAAUCGAAAAUGACAUCUUAC
RNAcentral lists this transfer RNA (61 nucleotides) under Chiropterargas boueti. Its description in RNAcentral is "Argas boueti tRNA-Thr". Lineage: Eukaryota; Metazoa; Arthropoda; Arachnida; Ixodida; Argasidae. The record is from RNAcentral.